CUAAGAGAGAGAGAGAGAGAGAGAGAGAGAGAGAGAGAGAGAGAGAGCAAGCCUAGGGGACUGGGGGAAAACCGCAUCCCCUGUCAUGAGCUAGCCUUGGAAGCCAUGCAGUGUCCUGGGUCCCCUCAGGGAAGAGAGUACAUGCAGUGAAUGGAUGGGUGUUCACAUUAUGUUGCAUGUUGGCUAGAGGGUACUGUGGUGCCUGUAUUUGGAAACUAUAAUCUGCCACUGAUUGCCAACGAGCGGGAUGUUAGGAGGAUGGAGAAAGUGGAGGAAGCCCUUGGCCCACAUGCAGACAGCCGUGUAUAAAAUGAAGCAGCAGGUUAAAGGGUUCAGUAGAGCUGCCAUUGCAGUGAGAGGACGAGCCACAAAGAGCAGAGAGAAGCACAGAACACACAGUGCAGGAACACUGAACGCAGGCACCAACAACCAGGCCCCAGUAAUCCCUGGGCGUCUCACCAUCCAGCAGUGAGCUAAUGUUGAGCCCACACCCUCUGUUAAUAGGCAAGUGCAGGGGCUGGGGUGUGGCUCAGAGGUAGAGCGCUCCCCUAGCAUGUGUGGGGUACUGGGUUCGAUCCUCAGCACCACCCAAAAAUAAAAUCAAGAUAUUGUGUCUACCUAUAACUAAAAAAUAAAUAUUAAAAAAAAGGCAAGCACAGAGCUGUGAGCAGUGGUGUGGUGGCACAGGUCCGGAAUUCCAGCUGCUCACAAGGCUGAGGCAGGAGGGUUCUAAGUUCAAGGCCGGCCUCAGCAAUUUAGCAAGACCCUGUCUCAAAAUAUAAUGUAAAGGGCUGGAAGUAUAGCUCAGUGGCAGAGUAAUUGCCUAGUAUGCACCAGGCCUUGGGUUUGACCUCAGGAGAUUAAAAAAAAAAAGGCAGCUGUGGAGUGACAUAUUUUGGAAUGAUUGACAUCAGAAUGUAUUAAAAUACAUUUUUU
Molecule: transfer RNA, 936 nt
Filed under: Marmota monax (woodchuck)
Lineage: Eukaryota; Metazoa; Chordata; Mammalia; Rodentia; Sciuridae
Rfam family: tRNA (bases 520-590)
Source: RNAcentral